This 633-nucleotide ribosomal RNA is filed under the name uncultured bacterium. Its description in RNAcentral is "bacterial SSU rRNA". The stretch from base 1 to 542 matches the Rfam family "Bacterial small subunit ribosomal RNA", at positions 338 to 873 of the family's 1533-position model. The record is from RNAcentral.
CCUACGGGAGGCAGCAGUGGGGAAUUUUGGACAAUGGGCGAAAGCCUGAUCCAGCAAUGCCGCGUGAGUGAAGAAGGCCUUCGGGUUGUAAAGCUCUUUUGUCAGGGAAGAAACGGUGAGAGCUAAUAUCUCUUGCUAAUGACGGUACCUGAAGAAUAAGCACCGGCUAACUACGUGCCAGCAGCCGCGGUAAUACGUAGGGUGCAAGCGUUAAUCGGAAUUACUGGGCGUAAAGCGUGCGCAGGCGGUUUUGUAAGUCUGAUGUGAAAUCCCCGGGCUCAACCUGGGAAUUGCAUUGGAGACUGCAAGGCUAGAAUCUGGCAGAGGGGGGUAGAAUUCCACGUGUAGCAGUGAAAUGCGUAGAUAUGUGGAGGAACACCGAUGGCGAAGGCAGCCCCCUGGGUCAAGAUUGACGCUCAUGCACGAAAGCGUGGGGAGCAAACAGGAUUAGAUACCCUGGUAGUCCACGCCCUAAACGAUGUCUACUAGUUGUCGGGUCUUAAUUGACUUGGUAACGCAGCUAACGCGUGAAGUAGACCGCCUGGGGGAGUUACGGUUCGCAAAGAUUUAAAAACCUUCAAAAGGAUAGUUCGGACGUUGNGAGAGCGACGACGACGACGACGGAGGAGGAGG